Molecule: transfer RNA, 75 nt
Filed under: Sphaerodactylus townsendi
Lineage: Eukaryota; Metazoa; Chordata; Lepidosauria; Squamata; Sphaerodactylidae
Description: tRNA-Ala
Rfam family: tRNA
About the family: Transfer RNA (tRNA) molecules are approximately 80 nucleotides in length. Their secondary structure includes four short double-helical elements and three loops (D, anti-codon, and T loops). Further hydrogen bonds mediate the characteristic L-shaped molecular structure. tRNAs have two regions of fundamental functional importance: the anti-codon, which is responsible for specific mRNA codon recognition, and the 3' end, to which the tRNAs corresponding amino acid is attached (by aminoacyl-tRNA synthetases). tRNAs cope with the degeneracy of the genetic code in two manners: having more than one tRNA (with a specific anti-codon) for a particular amino acid; and 'wobble' base-pairing, i.e. permitting non-standard base-pairing at the 3rd anti-codon position.
Source: RNAcentral
GGAGGGUCUGUAGCUCAGUGAUUAGACAUCUGCUUAGCAUGCAGAAAGUCCUGGGUUCAAUUCCCAGCAUCUCCA